Uranotaenia lowii is the source of this 1585-nucleotide long non-coding RNA. RefSeq lists it as uncharacterized. The transcript is spliced from 3 exons. NCBI's taxonomy places the organism in Eukaryota, Metazoa, Arthropoda, Insecta, Diptera, Culicidae. The record is from RefSeq and is a predicted model, not a curated record.
AUCGAUCCCGUUUAUUCCUAAACAAAUCGUCGCAUCAAACGGAUCGGAAGUGCGCGUGUGAACUUGGGCUGCGCAGACCCAAUUACGCGCCCCCGCUUCCCUUGGAGCGGGGGUAGUAGGUCGUGGGGGCUCCGAACUGACCGGACGACAUCGUGCUCGCGUGCCGUUGGGGGAAGUGGGUCUACGCAUUCCCACACUACCGGAAAAGAAAAUUAUUCAGAGGAAAAAUUGUGCAAGUGAUAAAAGAGCCAGAGUUGAUUCCAGAAAACGGAAACAGAAAACAAGUGUUGGAAAAUUAGUGGUAGUGCUUUUUCAUAAAAUGGUUUAGUUUAAGCUGUGUAGAAAAUUACACAAAAAAAGUUUAUUGGUAAUAAAAUGUGAGCAUCCUGAUCGUUGGGAAACCAGAAGGAGUAUCAACUUUUAUGGAUCUUAACUUCGAUUAAAACAACUUCAAAUAUACACAAUUCUAUUAAUCCGCUCUCAACGUCCCGUAUGCUGUUCUCAGGAAAAGAACGGCAAGAUCGAGAGAAACGCGUAAUUAUCGGAAUAAUCAUUUCAAGAACCAGGCAGCGGCUGACCAGCAAGCGGAUACACGUCGUUAAUUGAGAAAAUUUUUGGUGUUUUUCUGAGACACUCACCAAAAGGCAGAUGAGCUAACCCAGAUCGGCUGCCAUUCUAUCGAGCUAGUAAUGGAGGCCCCCGGUAAACGACUGGUUCAAGGGCCCGCUAAUAGAAAAAUGGGAUGUAUUCUUGGACCCUCAUCAAAUGCCGUUUCCCAGAGGAAUUCAUUACACCGUGGAUCGUAGACUUUCAACCAGACUCAGAAGCCAUUUUUUCUUUCAACUACAUAACUAGAACGUGGUAACCUAAAACCCGAGGGGACAUUAAGUUGUGCUUCGAGGGUAGUGUUAUUUUGAACCGGCAAAUUUAUUUCGUGGUUAAACUUUUUUUUCAAACCAGUUGGAUUUAGAUUUUCCAAUUUCAACAAAUACCGAACUAUCCAUUGCAAUUUCGUCACUAACAUCUGAUGGAAAUUGGGAAGCGUAAAUUAAACAGUUUAUUAAAUUAAGCAUACACCACGAAUUUUUUUGAGAGUAAAAGUAAUAUUCUUUAGAAUUAUGAGCUGUCAAUCAGCAGAUGAGAACAAAAUCUGUAGAUAGUGAACUGCUUAAUUAAUUCCUGAAAAAAGGUAAUUCACAGAAUAACAGCGAAAACUGUUAUUUGUGAAGAAAAAGAUGACGAUACCACACGACUAUGAUAACACAGGCGAGGAAAACUAAUCUAACUUAUCAAACCAGAAUUUGAGCGAGGAACUUUCACUAAGAUCUAUUGAAGGAACAUUUGAUGCGAGGAAAAACAAUAAUUUAAGGCAAUCUCCUAACCGUACUGAAAAUCAAAUUCAUAGUUAUAGCAAGAGCAAUUUCAAAGGUGUACAAUUUUAUGUGUAAAUGAGCGAGGAACCGAUUGUUAAAGAAAGUUGCUAAAUGCAACAAAUUUUCACGAGUUAAUAGCGUAGAACACACUAUUUUGAGCCACUUAGACACAUUUGUAAUAACGAUGAAAUUAAAAACAAACACAAAUUCUA